RNAcentral lists this ribosomal RNA (480 nucleotides) under uncultured marine eukaryote. Its description in RNAcentral is "SSU rRNA". It matches the Rfam family "Eukaryotic small subunit ribosomal RNA", at positions 83 to 565 of the family's 1831-position model. The record is from RNAcentral.
GAAACUGUGAACGGCUCAUUAUAUCAGUUUUAAUUUACAUGAUAUUUUCUUACUUCUAGGAUAACCGUAGUAAUUCUAGAGCUACUACUUGAUACAACGCCUGACAGCUUGCUGAAGGGCCGUAUUUAUUAGAUCCAGCCAACCCGGCUCUGCCGGUGCAUGGUGAAUCAUAGUAACUUUUCGAAUCGCAUGGCUUCGGCUGGCGAUGGUUCAUUCAAGAUUCUGCCCUAUCAGCUUUCGAUGGUAGGGUAUUGGCCUACCAUGGCGUUAACGGGUAACGGGGGAUUAGGGUUCGAUUCCGGAGAGGGAGCCUGAGAAACGGCUACCACAUCCAAGGAAGGCAGCAGGCGCGUAAAUUACCCAAUCCUGAUACAGGGAGGUAGUGACAAUAAAUAACAAUACGGAACUCAUCGAGUUUUGUAAUUGGAAUGAGUACAAUUUAAUUCUCUUAACAAGUAUCAAUUGGAGGGCAAGUCUGGU